This 568-nucleotide ribosomal RNA is filed under the name uncultured bacterium. Its description in RNAcentral is "partial 16S ribosomal RNA". It matches the Rfam family "Bacterial small subunit ribosomal RNA", at positions 355 to 914 of the family's 1533-position model. The record is from RNAcentral.
UGGGGAAUUUUGGACAAUGGGCGAAAGCCUGAUCCAGCAAUGCCGCGUGUGUGAAGAAGGCCUUCGGGUUGUAAAGCACUUUUGUCCGGAAAGAAAUCCUUGGCUCUAAUACAGCCGGGGGAUGACGGUACCGGAAGAAUAAGCACCGGCUAACUACGUGCCAGCAGCCGCGGUAAUACGUAGGGUGCAAGCGUUAAUCGGAAUUACUGGGCGUAAAGCGUGCGCAGGCGGUUUGCUAAGACCGAUGUGAAAUCCCCGGGCUCAACCUGGGAACUGCAUUGGUGACUGGCAGGCUAGAGUAUGGCAGAGGGGGGUAGAAUUCCACGUGUAGCAGUGAAAUGCGUAGAGAUGUGGAGGAAUACCGAUGGCGAAGGCAGCCCCCUGGGCCAAAUACUGACGCUCAUGCACGAAAGCGUGGGGAGCAAACAGGAUUAGAUACCCUGGUAGUCCACGCCCUAAAACGAUGUCAACUAGUUGUUGGGGAUUCAUUUCCUUAGUAACGUAGCUAACGCGUGAAGUUGACCGCCUGGGGAGUACGGUCGCAAGAUUAAAACUGAAAGGAAUUGAC